CCUACGGGUGGCAGCAGUGAGGAAUAUUAGUCAAUGGACGAGAGUCUGAACCAGCCAAGUAGCGUGAAGGAUGACUGCCCUAUGGGUUGUAAACUUCUUUUAUAUGGGAAUAAAAUGUUCCACGUGUGGGAUUUUGUAUGUACCCUAUGAAUAAGGAUCGGCUAACUCCGUGCCAGCAGCCGCGGUAAUACGGAGGAUCCGAGCGUUAUCCGGAUUUAUUGGGUUUAAAGGGAGCGUAGGUGGAUUGUUAAGUCAGUUGUGAAAGUUUGCGGCUCAACCGUAAAAUUGCAGUUGAAACUGGCAGUCUUGAGUACAGUAGAGGUGGGCGGAAUUCGUGGUGUAGCGGUGAAAUGCUUAGAUAUCACGAAGAACUCCGAUUGCGAAGGCAGUUCACUGGACUGCAACUGACACUGAGGCUCGAAAGUGUGGGUAUCAAACAGGAUUAGAUACCCUAGUAGUC
RNAcentral lists this ribosomal RNA (460 nucleotides) under uncultured bacterium. Its description in RNAcentral is "partial 16S ribosomal RNA". It matches the Rfam family "Bacterial small subunit ribosomal RNA", at positions 338 to 795 of the family's 1533-position model. The record is from RNAcentral.